GGGGCCUUGGCGAAGUUGGGAUCGCGCUGCGUUCGCAAUGCAGAGAUCACGGGUUCGAAUCCCGUAGGCUCCACCA
RNAcentral lists this transfer RNA (76 nucleotides) under Coriobacteriales bacterium. RNAcentral's name for it is "tRNA-Ala". It matches the Rfam family "tRNA". Rfam says of the family: Transfer RNA (tRNA) molecules are approximately 80 nucleotides in length. Their secondary structure includes four short double-helical elements and three loops (D, anti-codon, and T loops). The record is from RNAcentral. Lineage: Bacteria; Bacillati; Actinomycetota; Coriobacteriia; Coriobacteriales.